GAGAGAGACAUGCGCGCAUAUCAAUAAGCGGAGGAAAAGAAACUAACAAGGAUUCCCUUAGUAACGGCGAGUGAAGCGGGAAGAGCUCAAAUUUGAAAUCUUCAAGGUUUUACCUUGACGAAUUGUAGUUUAAAGAAGUGUUUUCUGCUGAAGUUUUGGUAAAAGUUCUUUGGAAUAGGACAUCAUAGAGGGUGAGAAUCCCGUAUUUGACCAUUAUUUUCAGCUUUGUGAUACACUUUCAAAGAGUCGGAUUGUUUGGGAAUGCAAGUCCAAAAUGGGUGGUAAAUUUCAUCUAAAGCUAAAUAUUGGCGAGAGACCGAUAGCGAACAAGUACCGUGAGGGAAAGAUGAAAAGAACUUUGAAAAGAGAGUUAAACAGUACGUGAAAUUGUCAAAAGGGAAGCGUUUGACACCAGUGUUGUUUUCUCGAAAAUCAAUUAAAAAUGGCUCGAUUUUGUAUUGCUGAGACCUUAAAAGCUCACUGUACAUCUUUUCGUGUCUUUUUUAAUGCACUUUUCGUUUAACAAGUCAACAUCAGUUUCUUUUGUUGUAAAAGGGUCAUUGGAAGGUGGCUUUCUUUUCGGAGAAAGUGUUUAUAGCCUUUGGCCUCUGCAAUCGGAAGAGACUGAGGUCUGCAGCGUAGACUCUUCGGGGUUAGAUACAUUUGUGCUAAGUUAUAGCUUGUUAUAGACAACUUGUUGACUAUAAUUAGUCUUGUAGCUUACUCGCUUAUGCUAUUUUACCUACGCUUAGGAUGUUGAGUCGUAGAGCACGCAG
Molecule: ribosomal RNA, 776 nt
Filed under: uncultured Neocallimastigales
Lineage: Eukaryota; Fungi; Neocallimastigomycota; Neocallimastigomycetes; Neocallimastigales
Description: partial large subunit ribosomal RNA
Rfam family: Eukaryotic large subunit ribosomal RNA
Source: RNAcentral